This 1541-nucleotide ribosomal RNA is filed under the name Escherichia coli. Its description in RNAcentral is "bacterial SSU rRNA". It matches the Rfam family "Bacterial small subunit ribosomal RNA". Lineage: Bacteria; Pseudomonadati; Pseudomonadota; Gammaproteobacteria; Enterobacterales; Enterobacteriaceae. The record is from RNAcentral.
AAAUUGAAGAGUUUGAUCAUGGCUCAGAUUGAACGCUGGCGGCAGGCCUAACACAUGCAAGUCGAACGGUAACAGGAAACAGCUUGCUGUUUCGCUGACGAGUGGCGGACGGGUGAGUAAUGUCUGGGAAGCUGCCUGAUGGAGGGGGAUAACUACUGGAAACGGUAGCUAAUACCGCAUAAUGUCGCAAGACCAAAGAGGGGGACCUUCGGGCCUCUUGCCAUCGGAUGUGCCCAGAUGGGAUUAGCUAGUAGGUGGGGUAACGGCUCACCUAGGCGACGAUCCCUAGCUGGUCUGAGAGGAUGACCAGCCACACUGGAACUGAGACACGGUCCAGACUCCUACGGGAGGCAGCAGUGGGGAAUAUUGCACAAUGGGCGCAAGCCUGAUGCAGCCAUGCCGCGUGUAUGAAGAAGGCCUUCGGGUUGUAAAGUACUUUCAGCGGGGAGGAAGGGAGUAAAGUUAAUACCUUUGCUCAUUGACGUUACCCGCAGAAGAAGCACCGGCUAACUCCGUGCCAGCAGCCGCGGUAAUACGGAGGGUGCAAGCGUUAAUCGGAAUUACUGGGCGUAAAGCGCACGCAGGCGGUUUGUUAAGUCAGAUGUGAAAUCCCCGGGCUCAACCUGGGAACUGCAUCUGAUACUGGCAAGCUUGAGUCUCGUAGAGGGGGGUAGAAUUCCAGGUGUAGCGGUGAAAUGCGUAGAGAUCUGGAGGAAUACCGGUGGCGAAGGCGGCCCCCUGGACGAAGACUGACGCUCAGGUGCGAAAGCGUGGGGAGCAAACAGGAUUAGAUACCCUGGUAGUCCACGCCGUAAACGAUGUCGACUUGGAGGUUGUGCCCUUGAGGCGUGGCUUCCGGAGCUAACGCGUUAAGUCGACCGCCUGGGGAGUACGGCCGCAAGGUUAAAACUCAAAUGAAUUGACGGGGGCCCGCACAAGCGGUGGAGCAUGUGGUUUAAUUCGAUGCAACGCGAAGAACCUUACCUGGUCUUGACAUCCACAGAACUUUCCAGAGAUGGAUUGGUGCCUUCGGGAACUGUGAGACAGGUGCUGCAUGGCUGUCGUCAGCUCGUGUUGUGAAAUGUUGGGUUAAGUCCCGCAACGAGCGCAACCCUUAUCCUUUGUUGCCAGCGGUCCGGCCGGGAACUCAAAGGAGACUGCCAGUGAUAAACUGGAGGAAGGUGGGGAUGACGUCAAGUCAUCAUGGCCCUUACGACCAGGGCUACACACGUGCUACAAUGGCGCAUACAAAGAGAAGCGACCUCGCGAGAGCAAGCGGACCUCAUAAAGUGCGUCGUAGUCCGGAUUGGAGUCUGCAACUCGACUCCAUGAAGUCGGAAUCGCUAGUAAUCGUGGAUCAGAAUGCCACGGUGAAUACGUUCCCGGGCCUUGUACACACCGCCCGUCACACCAUGGGAGUGGGUUGCAAAAGAAGUAGGUAGCUUAACCUUCGGGAGGGCGCUUACCACUUUGUGAUUCAUGACUGGGGUGAAGUCGUAACAAGGUAACCGUAGGGGAACCUGCGGUUGGAUCACCUCCUU